Molecule: ribosomal RNA, 164 nt
Filed under: Acrapex syscia
Lineage: Eukaryota; Metazoa; Arthropoda; Insecta; Lepidoptera; Noctuidae
Description: partial 12S small subunit ribosomal RNA
Source: RNAcentral
AAAUUUUAAAGUUAUAAUACUAAAAUAGUAAAUAAUUAUUUAUUAAAACUUAAAUAAUUUGGCGGUAUUUUAGUUUAUUUAGAGGAAUCUGUUUAAUAAUUGAUAUUCCACGAAUAAAUUUACUUAAUUUAUAAUUUUGUAUAUCGUUGUUAUAAAAAUAUUUU